CCAACGGCCCUCUUCAGGGCCAUAUAAUACGAAUACCAUGAAUGUG
This is a non-coding RNA of Haemonchus placei, 46 nucleotides long. Lineage: Eukaryota; Metazoa; Nematoda; Chromadorea; Rhabditida; Trichostrongylidae. The record is from Rfam.